RNAcentral lists this ribosomal RNA (1372 nucleotides) under uncultured bacterium. Its description in RNAcentral is "bacterial SSU rRNA". It matches the Rfam family "Bacterial small subunit ribosomal RNA", at positions 28 to 1381 of the family's 1533-position model. The record is from RNAcentral.
GAUGAACGCUGGCGGCGUGCCUAAUACAUGCAAGUCGAGCGAACGGACGAGAAGCUUGCUUCUCUGAUGUUAGCGGCGGACGGGUGAGUAGCACGUGGAUAACCUACCUAUAAGACUGGGAUAACUUCGGGAAACCGGAGCUAAUACCGGAUAAUAUUUUGAACCGCAUGGUUCAAAAGUGAAAGACGGUCUUGCUGUCACUUAUAGAUGGAUCCGCGCUGCAUUAGCUAGUUGGUAAGGUAACGGCUUACCAAGGCAACGAUGCAUAGCCGACCUGAGAGGGUGAUCGGCCACACCGGAACUGAGACACGGUCCAGACUCCUACGGGAGGCAGCAGUAGGGAAUCUUCCGCAAUGGGCGAAAGCCUGACGGAGCAACGCCGCGUGAGUGAUGAAGGUCUUCGGAUCGUAAAACUCUGUUAUUAGGGAAGAACAUAUGUGUAAGUAACUGUGCACAUCUUGACGGUACCUAAUCAGAAAGCCACGGCUAACUACGUGCCAGCAGCCGCGGUAAUACGUAGGUGGCAAGCGUUAUCCGGAAUUAUUGGGCGUAAAGCGCGCGUAGGCGGUUUUUUAAGUCUGAUGUGAAAGCCCACGGCUCAACCGUGGAGGGUCAUUGGAAACUGGAAAACUUGAGUGCAGAAGAGGAAAGUGGAAUUCCAUGUGUAGCGGUGAAAUGCGCAGAGAUAUGGAGGAACACCAGUGGCGAAGGCGACUUUCUGGUCUGUAACUGACGCUGAUGUGCGAAAGCGUGGGGAUCAAACAGGAUUAGAUACCCUGGUAGUCCACGCCGUAAACGAUGAGUGCUAAGUGUUAGGGGGUUUCCGCCCCUUAGUGCUGCAGCUAACGCAUUAAGCACUCCGCCUGGGGAGUACGACCGCAAGGUUGAAACUCAAAGGAAUUGACGGGGACCCGCACAAGCGGUGGAGCAUGUGGUUUAAUUCGAAGCAACGCGAAGAACCUUACCAAAUCUUGACAUCCUUUGACAACUCUAGAGAUAGAGCCUUCCCCUUCGGGGGACAAAGUGACAGGUGGUGCAUGGUUGUCGUCAGCUCGUGUCGUGAGAUGUUGGGUUAAGUCCCGCAACGAGCGCAACCCUUAAGCUUAGUUGCCAUCAUUAAGUUGGGCACUCUAAGUUGACUGCCGGUGACAAACCGGAGGAAGGUGGGGAUGACGUCAAAUCAUCAUGCCCCUUAUGAUUUGGGCUACACACGUGCUACAAUGGACAAUACAAAGGGCAGCGAAACCGCGAGGUCAAGCAAAUCCCAUAAAGUUGUUCUCAGUUCGGAUUGUAGUCUGCAACUCGACUACAUGAAGCUGGAAUCGCUAGUAAUCGUAGAUCAGCAUGCUACGGUGAAUACGUUCCCGGGUCU